Molecule: ribosomal RNA, 447 nt
Filed under: uncultured bacterium
Lineage: Bacteria
Description: SSU rRNA
Rfam family: Bacterial small subunit ribosomal RNA
Source: RNAcentral
AGAGCGAACGCUGGCGGCAGGCCUAACACAUGCAAGUCGAGCGCCCGUAGCAAUACGGGAGCGGCAGACGGGAUAGUAACACGUGGGAACGCGCCCUUCGGUUCGGAAUAACUCAGGGAAACUUGAGCUAAUACCGGAUACGCCCUUACGGGGAAAGAUUUAUUGCCGAAGGAACGGCCCGCGUCCGAUUAGCUAGUUGGUGAGGUAAUGGCUCACCAAGGCGACGAUCGGUAGCUGGUCUGAGAGGAUGACCAGCAUCACUGGGACUGAGACACGGCCCAGACUCCUACGGGAGGCAGCAGUGGGGAAUAUUGGACAAUGGGCGCAAGCCUGAUCCAGCCAUGCCGCGUGGAUGAUGAAGGCCUUAGGGUUGUAAAGUCCUUUUAACGGGGAAGAUAAUGACGGUACCCGUAGAAUAGCCCCGGCUAACUUCGUGCCAGCAGCCGC